GCGAAUACCGGAGAAUGUUAUCACGGGAGACACACGGCGGGUGCUAACGUCCGUCGUGAAGAGGGAAACAACCCAGACCGCCAGCUAAGGUCCCAAAGUCAUGGUUAAGUGGGAAACGAUGUGGGAAGGCCCAGACAGCCAGGAUGUUGGCUUAGAAGCAGCCAUCAUUUAAAGAAAGCGUAAUAGCUCACUGGUCGAGUCGGCCUGCGCGGAAGAUGUAACGGGGCUAAACCAUGCACCGAAGCUGCGGCAGCGACACUAUGUGUUGUUGGGUAGGGGAGCGUUCUGUAAGCCUGUGAAGGUGGCCUGUGAGGGUUGCUGGAGGUAUCAGAAGUGCGAAUGCUGACAUAAGUAACGAUAAAGCGGGUGAAAAGCCCGCUCGCCGGAAGACCAAGGGUUCCUGUCCAACGUUAAUCGGGGCAGGGUGAGUCGACCCCUAAGGCGAGGCCGAAAGGCGUAGUCGAUGGGAAACAGGUUAAUAUUCCUGUACUUGGUGUUACUGCGAAGGGGGGACGGAGAAGGCUAUGUUGGCCGGGCGACGGUUGUCCCGGUUUAAGCGUGUAGGCUGGUUUUCCAGGCAAAUCCGGAAAACCAAGGCUGAGGCGUGAUGACGAGGCACUACGGUGCUGAAGCGACAAAUGCCCUGCUUCCAGGAAAAGCCUCUAAGCAUCAGGUAACAUCAAAUCGUACCCCAAACCGACACAGGUGGUCAGGUAGAGAAUACCAAGGCGCUUGAGAGAACUCGGGUGAAGGAACUAGGCAAAAUGGUGCCGUAACUUCGGGAGAAGGCACGCUGAUAUGUAGGUGAAGCGACUUGCUCGUGGAGCUGAAAUCAGUCGAAGAUACCAGCUGGCUGCAACUGUUUAUUAAAAACACAGCACUGUGCAAACACGAAAGUGGACGUAUACGGUGUGACGCCUGCCCGGUGCCGGAAGGUUAAUUGAUGGGGUUAGCGGUAACGCGAAGCUCUUGAUCGAAGCCCCGGUAAACGGCGGCCGUAACUAUAACGGUCCUAAGGUAGCGAAAUUCCUUGUCGGGUAAGUUCCGACCUGCACGAAUGGCGUAAUGAUGGCCAGGCUGUCUCCACCCGAGACUCAGUGAAAUUGAACUCGCUGUGAAGAUGCAGUGUACCCGCGGCAAGACGGAAAGACCCCGUGAACCUUUACUAUAGCUUGACACUGAACAUUGAGCCUUGAUGUGUAGGAUAGGUGGGAGGCUUUGAAGUGUGGACGCCAGUCUGCAUGGAGCCGACCUUGAAAUACCACCCUUUAAUGUUUGAUGUUCUAACGUUGGCCCGUAAUCCGGGUUGCGGACAGUGUCUGGUGGGUAGUUUGACUGGGGCGGUCUCCUCCUAAAGAGUAACGGAGGAGCACGAAGGUUGGCUAAUCCUGGUCGGACAUCAGGAGGUUAGUGCAAUGGCAUAAGCCAGCUUGACUGCGAGCGUGACGGCGCGAGCAGGUGCGAAAGCAGGUCAUAGUGAUCCGGUGGUUCUGAAUGGAAGGGCCAUCGCUCAACGGAUAAAAGGUACUCCGGGGAUAACAGGCUGAUACCGCCCAAGAGUUCAUAUCGACGGCGGUGUUUGGCACCUCGAUGUCGGCUCAUCACAUCCUGGGGCUGAAGUAGGUCCCAAGGGUAUGGCUGUUCGCCAUUUAAAGUGGUACGCGAGCUGGGUUUAGAACGUCGUGAGACAGUUCGGUCCCUAUCUGCCGUGGGCGCUGGAGAACUGAGGGGGGCUGCUCCUAGUACGAGAGGACCGGAGUGGACGCAUCACUGGUGUUCGGGUUGUCAUGCCAAUGGCACUGCCCGGUAGCUAAAUGCGGAAGAGAUAAGUGCUGAAAGCAUCUAAGCACGAAACUUGC
This 1859-nucleotide ribosomal RNA is filed under the name Escherichia coli. RNAcentral's name for it is "partial 23S ribosomal RNA". It matches the Rfam family "Bacterial large subunit ribosomal RNA", at positions 956 to 2797 of the family's 2925-position model. Lineage: Bacteria; Pseudomonadati; Pseudomonadota; Gammaproteobacteria; Enterobacterales; Enterobacteriaceae. The record is from RNAcentral.